RNAcentral lists this ribosomal RNA (253 nucleotides) under uncultured bacterium. RNAcentral describes it as "partial 16S ribosomal RNA". It matches the Rfam family "Bacterial small subunit ribosomal RNA", at positions 524 to 776 of the family's 1533-position model. The record is from RNAcentral.
UACGUAGGGUGCGAGCGUUAAUCGGAAUUACUGGGCGUAAAGCGUGCGCAGGCGGUCUGUUAUGUCUGAUGUGAAAGCCCCGGGCUCAACCUGGGAAUGGCAUUGGAAACUGGCAGGCUCGAGUAUGGCAGAGGGGGGUGGAAUUCCGCGUGUAGCAGUGAAAUGCGUAGAGAUGCGGAGGAACACCGAUGGCGAAGGCAGCCCCCUGGGCCAAUACUGACGCUCAGGCACGAAAGCGUGGGGAGCAAACAGG